CCUCAUAAGCAAUAUGAGGAACCCGGGAAGAAGUACAAGAUAGCUACAAAAGGUACUACAUAAACAUAAAAAUAUUAUUCAAGUAUCUUCUACGGGAUGAUAUAAUGUGGUUGCUUUUUUUCAUAGAUGGAAAUGAUGCGCCAACAAAUACACCAAUCUUGUUUUUUACAAAAUGGGAUGCAGAUGAUUCCAAAAGACUGAUGGUCCACCAUAAUAUAUAGAAGCAACAGGAGGGAUAGCUGAUGAAGAAUGAUAUCCAUUCAAACAAUGGUGGUGUUCCUCAAGUGAAGAUUAAUAAUAUUUUCUUUUCUAGUUGUCUCAUUUUCCAGAUAGAUAUUAUCAAGUACAUUGGUUAUAUAAGGAAUGAUUUUGACUCCAUUUCUUAAAUGAUAUUUUAAUUCCAGAAUUGUAUGUCGGAAUAUUGGUAUGUCUAUUAAUAAAAGUGGCUAUGAUCUUUUCAAUUCA
Molecule: non-coding RNA, 465 nt
Organism: Triticum urartu
Lineage: Eukaryota; Viridiplantae; Streptophyta; Magnoliopsida; Poales; Poaceae
Source: RefSeq, a predicted model, not a curated record